Molecule: non-coding RNA, 890 nt
Organism: Paramuricea clavata
Lineage: Eukaryota; Metazoa; Cnidaria; Anthozoa; Malacalcyonacea; Plexauridae
Source: the annotation of a GenBank genome assembly
CAUCGUUGGAUCUGAUUGUUAUGUCCGAGGAUGUCAGAUCACGUUUUAUUCAAAAUAUUUUUCCUUGCAAUAUGGCCUAUCUAAUAUUUUUUGCAUAAUAAUCAGCUUCCGUUCUUUCGUUUCGCCGGCUUAGCGCGUGGGCGUUUGGCUUAAAGUGAAAUUUUUUGUCAUAUCGAAGGCACGGAUCAAGAAUUUUCUCGAAUAAUGGCUGCACAUUAUUUGGUGAAUUUGCUAAAACGUCGAGUAUCACGCGUGCGAAGCUGGACUCGAUCGAUCGGCCAUGCUCGUGUGACUUGUGUGUUCGGUUAAAACCGAUUCCUGGCAACCGAUUUGUCGUUUAAACUUUAAAUAUGUUCGGCCUGGCCAAGCCGUGUUUGCAAUGGCAAAUCUCCAAGAGGCAAGGAAGUAUAUUGUUUAAAUACAGCAGUGUUUUGCAAGCAGCUGUUGAAGGCGUUAUGAUCUUUUAUGCCUGUAGAGAAAGCUUUAAUUGUUGCUACAUCAUGUCUGAAUCCACAAAGAAUAACUACAGCACAGGUUUGGUUGCUUUUAUAAAACAUUUGUUGUUAUACAUACGGUCCUUUUAUAUUGUCUAUUCUUGUACAUAUAUUUCAGUGAAUACAUGUAGCUAUUUAAAUCGUUGAUUUGAAGCUUAUAUGUAACAGACGCUUUCAAAUGAGGUAUAGCUGUAAUCUUUAUCGCAAGAAGGUAAUAAAAAUGCUUUUAUAAUAUCGCCAUUUUAAAUACGGUGUAUAAUAUUUAGGAAAAGCUGAGUAACGGCUCUAUUAACGGUCCCAAAGAUUUAAGUUUUCGUAUUAAUGUAGUUGUACAUUGCAUUACAAAAGUCAUGCAUUAUUUUUACAAUUUAGUGUAGAAUGUUUCUUGCUUUGCGC